CCUACGGGAGGCAGCAGUGGGGAAUAUUGCACAAUGGGGGAAACCCUGAUGUAGCGACGCCGCGUGAGUGAAGAAGUAUUUCGGUAUGUAAAGCUCUAUCAGCAGGGAAGAAAAUGACGGUACCUGACUAAGAAGCCCCGGCUAACUACGUGCCAGCAGCCGCGGUAAUACGUAGGGGGCAAGCGUUAUCCGGAUUUACUGGGUGUAAAGGGAGCGUAGACGGCCAGAAAAGUCAGAAGUGAAAGCCCAGGGCUCAACCCUGGCGAGCCGUUGAAACUGGCGGGCUGGAGUUGGAGAGAAGUACGCGGAAUGCGCGGUGUAGCGGUGAAAUGCUUAGAUAUCGCGCAGAACCCCGAUUGCGAAGGCAGCGUACCGGCUCCACACUGACGCUGAGGCACGAAAGCGUGGGUAUCGAACAGGAUUAGAUACCCGAGUAGUC
RNAcentral lists this ribosomal RNA (439 nucleotides) under uncultured bacterium. RNAcentral's name for it is "partial 16S ribosomal RNA". It matches the Rfam family "Bacterial small subunit ribosomal RNA", at positions 338 to 795 of the family's 1533-position model. The record is from RNAcentral.